GACGAACGCUGGCGGCGUGAUUAACACAUGCAAGUCGAACGGUAAGGCCCUUCGGGGUACACGAGUGGCGAACGGGUGAGUAACACGUGGGUGAUCUGCCCUGCACUUCGGGAUAAGCCUGGGAAACUGGGUCUAAUACCGGAUAGGACUCAUGGCUUCCUGGUUGGGGGUGGAAAGCUUGUGCGGUGUGGGAUGGGCCCGCGGCCUAUCAGCUCGUUGGUGGGGUAACGGCCUACCAAGGCGAGGACGGGGAGCCGGCCGGGGAGGGUGACCGGUCACACUGGGACUGAGAGGUGGGCCAGACUACUAGAGGAGGCAGCGGUGGGGGAGAUUGCACGAUGGGGGAAAGACUGAUGCAGCGACGCCGCGUGAGAGAUGACGGCCUUCGGGUUGUAAACCUCGUUCUGCUAUGGCGAAGCGGAAGUGACGGUAGGAGCAGAAGAAGGACCGGCCAGCUACGGGCCAGCAGCCGCCGUAA
This 478-nucleotide ribosomal RNA is filed under the name uncultured bacterium. RNAcentral describes it as "partial 16S ribosomal RNA". It matches the Rfam family "Bacterial small subunit ribosomal RNA", at positions 28 to 523 of the family's 1533-position model. The record is from RNAcentral.